AGUGAACGCUGGCGGUAGGCCUAACACAUGCAAGUCGAACGGCAGCACAGUAAGAGCUUGCUCUUACGGGUGGCGAGUGGCGGACGAGUGAGGAAUACAUCGGAAUCUACUUUUUCGUGGGGGAUAACGUAGGGAAACUUACGCUAAUACCGCAUACGACCUACGGGUGAAAGCAGGGGAUCUUCGGACCUUGCGCGAUUGAAUGAGCCGAUGUCGGAUUAGCUAGUUGGCGGGGUAAAGGCCCACCAAGGCGACGAUCCGUAGCUGGUCUGAGAGGAUGAUCAGCCACACUGGAACUGAGACACGGUCCAGACUCCUACUGGAGGCAGCAGUGGGGAAUAUUGGACAAUGGGCGCAAGCCUGAUCCAGCCAUACCGCGUGGGUGAAGAAGGCCUUCGGGUUGUAAAGCCCUUUUGUUGGGAAAGAAAAGCAGCAGGUUAAUACCCCGCUGUUCUGACGGUACCCAAAGAAUAAGCACCGGCUAACUUCGUG
RNAcentral lists this ribosomal RNA (492 nucleotides) under uncultured bacterium. RNAcentral describes it as "partial 16S ribosomal RNA". It matches the Rfam family "Bacterial small subunit ribosomal RNA", at positions 29 to 507 of the family's 1533-position model. The record is from RNAcentral.